Molecule: long non-coding RNA, 4110 nt
Organism: Astatotilapia calliptera (eastern happy)
Lineage: Eukaryota; Metazoa; Chordata; Actinopteri; Cichliformes; Cichlidae
Source: Ensembl
ACAUGAAGUUUUUUUGGCAGUGAAGUGAAGAACUGCAAGUUCAGCCAAAAUAGACAAUAAAGCAGAAUGGAGAAACAUGCCAAAUUGCUCGGGCAAUUCAGUCCAGAGGCUCAUUUUCCCUAAAUGAUUCAUACUGGAAAGAAAAGCAUUUCCCUGUCCUUAGAUGAACUUAGUGUGCUUGCCGUUGGCUUUACAAGGAAGAGAUGGGGGAGGGAGGCGGAUGUGUUCACACUCGGUCCCACAAACACACGUGUGUGCACACACACAUAUGACUGCACAGCCAAGACUACAGAUUCUUUGCUCACUGGGGAAUUAGGUAAUACACAUGUAAGUCUCAAACGCAGACGCAUAUAAAUAUGCUACUUUAAAAACAUAUUUUUUACAUAACCAAAUCGAGUCCAUCCUCAUUUCUUUAUAUUUCGACUUUCUCACAAUUUUAGAAACUGUCUUGUACAAUAAUUCUCCAGGCUUUCUGCAGGUCUUUCAAAGUUUUUCUUUGGACAUUGACUGCUAUUUCACUCACUUUCAGUCCAGUCUUUGCACCAGAGCAUUUUCAGACAAAUGUUUCAUUUUUUGUCUGUUUGCUGAGCCACUGAAUACUGACUUAUGAUUAAUUCAAGGGCUGCACGAUUUUGCAUAAAAUGACAAUCACGAUUUUUUGGCUUAGAAUUGAGAUCACGAUUCUCUCACGAUUUUCUUUUCCAGUAUAAAUAUUUAUUGCACUUAUUAACUGCACAUCAACUUCGUAACAGUUGAGACUGAACAUAAAAACAAUAAAUAAACAUAAAAACAACAAAUGUCUCACAUUUUGUCGUUGCCGCAAAAUGUUGUACUGCUUGAAAUUCCGUCUCCACCGUUGCUCGACACUGCGUGUAUAGAGCAGGUGGUGCAACAAUAGAAAAAUAGUUGCGGGACGGCACUGUGUAGCGUUUGUCUAGGGUGUUGAUCAUUUUCCUAAAUCCCUCGUUUGCACAGUGUUGAUGGGAGCCAUAUCUUUGGUCAGGUGAUAAGUGAUAGCCUCCGUAAUUUCUUUGUGCCUGCGGGAGUUCGACGUGUAUAGGGAAGCGCUGUAUAAGGUUCCCGUUAUUGAUGUUUGGGUGGUUGACAGGGACGGAUUUUCUCCUGUCACUUUCUCGUCAUCCCUGACGUGCUCUCCGUUGUUUUUUCCCUGCUAAUUUUAGCAUCACACGGCACAGCUUCUGUAUCACGUGGUAUAAGGCUCCGCCCUUGUCAUUUGUUGAGCAGGAAGAGUGAGCGCUUGUUUUCAUGCAGAUUACGUCCCGGAUCAAAAUGCGGUACAAUCGUCGUCGUCUUUUUUUUUUUUUUUUUUUUUUUUUUUUUUUAAUCGUUGUCAUUUGGAAAUGAGAUCGCACAUAAGUAUGAAUCGAGAUCGCGAUUUUCUAACGAUUAAUCGUGCAGCCCUAAAUUCAAGCAUAAAAACGCACCCAACUAAAAGGAUGAACCCGUAUUGCAUGAACACAUAACAGACGCCAAAGACCCAGUUUUAAAUUGCAUCUUUAGAUAUUUUGUUAUUGGCAACCUGUCAAAAGAAAUAAUAUGUUUAAUUUUAAAAAUUAAACAGUGAUUUAAACAAUAUUUAAUUUGUUUGGUGUAAUGUAUUAGUUACGUCUGCAAACGGGCAGAAAAUAGCAUGUCUACAUCAACAAGGUGAAUCCCAAAGAGCUAUUAGCUGAACAUCUCAGCAUGGUGUGCAGCGUGUCCUUAAAAACAGUGAGGAAAGUGGAGGACAAAAGAACAAGUGGCAGGUCUAAAAAACUAUGUAGAGCAGGUGAACAGUAUGUGAAAGUCAUGUAAUAAAAUAGAACAAAAAAUCUGACAGCUGAUCCCUCCACAAAAGGUAAACAGAGAGAAAAGGCAAACAUAACUAAACCACAGACAUGCAUUUACAACAAUGAAUCCAAAUCUGAAAUUUUCAAUACAAAUUGUGCCUAUAUAGGUAUGAAGGUCAGGAGAGAGGUACAACAAUGAGUACCUACGGCAAUCUGUAAAAAAUGGUGGAGGCUGUAUCAUGGUUUGGGGCUGAAUUUCAAACAUCCUGUCCAAAAGUGAUUAAAUUAUGUUGGUAAAUUACUUAAUUUUUCCCUAUGACAAUGUUGGCAUUGCAGUACACACAUACCUGAACAAAAAACCCCCAAACCAAUCAGUCAUGGACUGGACUCCACAGAGCCAGGAUCUCGACAAUAUUGACGUAGUGUGGGAUCAUCUUGACAGAGAAUGGAACAAAAAGGCAGCCAACAUCCAAAGAAGAGCUUUGGGUGUCCUUCAAGAAGCCUGCAGAACUAUUCUCCUAGACUACUUAAAGAAAUUCCAAGAAAGCUUCCUAAGAGAAUUCAGACUAUGUUAAAGAAUAAAUAUGGUUAUACGUUCAAACAGUGUUUUCUGCUUCCAUCUAUGUUUGCAUGUUUCAAUAAACUGCUGUACAGAACACAAAGAAAUGAGGAAAUGACUUCUGCAUAUUGUUGUAUUUUAUUCAGCUUGAACCAUGACUGCACGACAAACAGCACUUUUUAGACUGUACUUCAGUGUUCAGUGCAGUAGCAGUAGAGUUUAGAAAUGAGAGAAAACUAAAGGCAAGUUUUGUAUCAGUCAGCAGUGUCCUGAGGCUGGUUUAUUGGCCUGUCUGGCUCAGCUGGCUGACAGUGUUCACCUGUUCCUUCUUUCCACUGCAGGAUGGCAGCUAAUAGUCUGCUGCAGCACAACAGGGAUUAGAACCUAAAACUCUUUCGUUAAUAUUUGCUUACUAGGCGUGACACUUUUCUGUGCUAAUUAGCUACUUUUCAAUAAAGAGAGUCAAAAAGACAUGAUGGGAGCAUGCUGAUAACUUGUUGUAUAUGCAUCAAAAUUAGACCAUGCAGUAAGGAAACAUCUAAGCAUUGGGUUACAUGAAAAAUCCAUUAUGCUGCUCAUAAGGAUACUUAUGAAUCUGUUUUGUACAUCAUUAGUGUUAUGCAGCAGAUAUUAAAAAAACAAACAAUAAUCAAUAAUGAACAGAACAGAAUAGAAAUAUCUAAUUGUUAUGAUUUAAAGUUAUCACACUGUUUUUUACUUUGAGACUAAAUCAUGUCUGCAAUGACAUUUUUUGUGACCUUGGCUUUCCAAGUCAGGCUUAAAAUUGAUACUCAGAAUGUAGAGUGCAGCAGCAUUAAGGGACAAACAUAAACAUCUCGCCUGUGACAUAUUUGGACAGCGGUAUGAAGGUUGAAAACGAGAAUAAGCCGGCUGUGUUAUUGCUGACUCGUGCAAAAUUUGGGCAAAUAUGUAACAAAGUGGCUGUUAAUAAGACAAAUUCACUCAGGAUCAGUCGAAUGGCAGAUUUAAAAUAGUAACAAAUCUAUGAGCGACACAGUGGCAGAAAAAUGGCGAUGAGGUCUCUACACAAGGGUGUGACACAAAGCAGGAAUUUAUUUCAGCCCCGAGUCUUUCGAAUUGUUGCUCCAGAUGUUGCCAUUCUGCAAAUGUAAAUAAAGGAAGAAAGCAGCACUUGCCAUUUAAGAUAUAAACUAUGUUAGUUUUCGUUAGUUUUCAGCUGUUUCUGUAAAAAUCCAGCAGUCAGGCAUUAGUGGCAAGUCCUUAUUCAGACAUUAGAUUAAUUCCACUGCUGGUGAAUCACACAACUUUUGUUUUUUUUUUUAGCUUCAUACAAAGGUCACAAGUAACAUCUAGCUAAACCUGAUGUGAAACAAACCAAGAUGAAGAUAAAGCUACAAUGACGAAGCCAAGACUCGUGUUUUUUUUAAACCUCGUGAGUCCUUGUGAACAUACGUGACAUACUUAGAUUUCGAGUGACUGCGUUAUGAACAUAAUUUCCUUAGGGAUUAUUACAGUAUUCUGAUAUGCAUGAAUUUAUUUACUGAUUUAUGACCAAGUAGUCUCCUUAAACUCCCGCAAAUGAUGUUUUAUCCUGUAUAAAUCUCUGUCUCUUUUAUAUGAAAUGCAUUUUAGAAUAUUGUCCCUUGCCAGUACUGUAUCCCUCUCCAUAUUGUCCAAAAAUCACAAAACUAUAACCCUACAUAUGGAGAAUUAUUAUUAUUAUUAAUAUCAUCAUUGUUACACAGAAACCAGACAACUGUUGUGCUGCAUGAACUUCAC